This 240-nucleotide unclassified non-coding RNA is filed under the name soil metagenome. RNAcentral's name for it is "partial contains 5.8S ribosomal RNA, internal transcribed spacer 2, and large subunit ribosomal RNA". The record is from RNAcentral.
AACGGUCUAUACCUGCGGUACCUGCGGAAGGAUCAUUAAUGAGAAACUGCCCCUCGCGGGUAGAUCUCCCACCCUUUGUAAACUUACCUUUGUUGCUUUGGCAGGCCCGUCUCCGGACCGCCGGCUUCGGCUGGCCAGUGCCUGCCAGAGGAUUCUAAAACUCUGUCUGUCAGUGUUGUCUGAGUCUAUUUACAAUCGUUAAAACUUUCAGCAAUGGAUCUCUAGAUCGGAAGAGCACAC